Long non-coding RNA from Cyprinus carpio carpio, 3927 nucleotides. NCBI's taxonomy places the organism in Eukaryota, Metazoa, Chordata, Actinopteri, Cypriniformes, Cyprinidae. The record is from Ensembl.
AUGUCAUUUUAUGGGUUAGAUCAUUUUAGAAAACAAAUUAAGGUAUCAUUUGCCGGUUAUCAUGUUUUCAGUGUAGAAUAUACUCAUUUAUGGAAAGUUGCAUGCAAAGAAUAUUCUCUGUUGGUCUGUUCCCUUUUUUUUCCAAUUACUGAAGGGGUUGGUCUCAUCUCUGGUGAAAAUAAUUGUUACAUUUGUCUUUCCUUACUGUGUAAAAAUGUCUUUGUUUUACAAUUUUUAUUAUGUUUUAAAAACAGACCAUUAGCAUUUUUAAUUAUUCACAUGCAUUAUAAUAAGAAUAGAACGUUAGAUACUACACAACAAUAUUAUGAUGAUUAAAAUUUGAAUAUAACGAAAUUAUCCUAAUUUUACAUUUGUAGAAAAAGCGUGGCUAAAAUUCAAAUUCAAGCCGUUUGAAUCGAGUCCACAAUGCUGCGGAUGGUUGAGCUCUUGAUAUAAAGCGAAGCAAACGCUUUGACGCUGAUCAUUUUCCAGGUUGUCUCUCAGUGAGUCAUAGAGCAGCAUGACGGUAGGUAGUGUAAACAUUGUCGGUCUGUGGUUAGACUUGUAGGGGAAGCUCUCUCCAGCAGAGGGGCACCUGCUUCUCAAAGCCGGGCCGCUUAAUCACUUUCAUCUGGGCCCCCUGCUGCCUCGCUAACCUGGUCUUACUUUAGAAAGCAGAUCUGUCUUUCACAUCCUCACACACGCCUCCCUUUCUUUUGCUUUCAGCCUCGGUUGUUUUACCUUUCUAAUUCGGCCCAGAUGUGACGGCCCGCUCCGCCGCCCGUUCUUCCCCCUCUCCCUCUCGCGCCCACCUGCUCGCUGACCUGCGGACCCCACACCCAGUCUCUCAUUUGAUUUCCCUUCUCUGGAGUGAAAGGGCUGUUCUGUAGCUCAUCGCAGCGCCUCUUUUUGCUUCGCCCCGUACUGCCUGGAGGGUCUGUGUUCUGCGUUGGUGCCGAGAAGCACUGGCAGACCCCUGUCUCAGUCGCAAGCCUUCAUGGCUUUUGUUACUCCUUCAACGACUCAAUCAGAAGCUCCAUGCCUGUGGCCUCUGAAUAAUCCACCUCCCAUGUAGAUGGCUCUAGACCAAGGACUCAUACAGGCAGUCUUUGAGGACGCACACACAAUAGCAGCGGUGUUAUUUUUGACUCGAGAUGUAUAGGAACUAUUUCAAUCUAAAAAUGAUUUCGACACACUCAUACUCUGAGGAAAUUAAAAUAUUGCCCAAUUAUCAUCUGAAGGAAUUUCAUUAUAGAAAAGAAAGGGCUGGUUUGUGGAAUCAUCUCGGCUUUAAUUGAAUUGGUCCGGUUGGACAUCCCAACUUGAUGGACAGCCCAGAUCUCUCUAGACCCACACAAGUCUGCGUCUGCCUCUGUUGGACAGGCCUCAGUAAAUAAUCUCUCACUGCUAAAUGCUCACUGUUAAUUGUGUUUCCUUUUUUCCCAGAUAAUUACGACAACACCUCUGCGCCUCAGCUUGAAGGACGCACUCCGCCAGGGCCUAAGCAGGUGCCUCUUACUGACUGACAAGAGCUGUCAAUCACUCGUAAAGAGCUCUCCACUUUCCUUCAGCUGUAUGCUGCGAUAUUCCCUUUUGUCAGUUUAUACCAAACACAAAAUGAAAAAGCCGGGGCUUAACCAGGUAGCAAACAGGCCCCAGACUGUCAAAGGGAAUUAGAGCGAGCAUGUCUGCUUCUCUCCACUCUAUCUAUGAGGCACUCGCAGCGCUGUUCCUCACACAUGAUAAGGGCUUUUACUUAUGGGACCUGCCGUGAUUAAGAGUCCCUGGGUAAUAGAGCCUUGCCUUUCUGCCGCCGUUACAAUAGUCGAUGAAAUUACUGACAUGAUUUUUCUUAGCCAAGAAGGAUAACCAUGCAUUUAAAGGCGCAGUUCACCCAAAAAUUGAUUUGUCAUUUACUCACCCACAUAUCAUUCCAAAGCUGCAUGACUUUCAUAUUUGGGGAGGAAAAAAAAGUUUGUAAUGCAUGUCCAUGGGGUCCAAUGUUGUUUAGAGCUCAGAAGUCUUCAAAAUAUCUAAUUUUGUGUUUCACAGAAUAAAGAAAGUAAGGUUUGAAAACAAACAUGAGGGUGAGUAAAAAUCAACAGAAUUUGCAUGUUUGGGUAAACUUUCCUUUUAAGAUGAAUGUAACAUGAAUGGUGACAACUUCUUUCAAAUUUUCAGUGGGAGAUAACUUAAAUUUCAGAACUUUUACAUAAGAAGACAGAUUACAUGGAAAAAGUCAUAAAGUUCCACUUUCAUUAUAUGCAGGACAGCAGUUCAGACUUUUCUCCCAAACAAGAAGACACAUUUUGGGGCAAACCAUCCCUUUAAUGUUCAUAAACCACUUGGUUCCUCAGUCAUACUUGCCAUUUCAGCACACAAACACUGGUUAGAUUAAGCAAACAGUACAAUUACAAAAAUAAAAAAAAUAAAAUAAAAAAGCUGUGCAUCUCGUCUGCUCAUUCUCCACAUCUUCCAUUUGCAUGGCUACAAUUAAGAAUGCUAAUAGAACAACGCAGACCCCGCCUUUGAGAAGGAUGGAAAGAGGCACCCCUAUUGUUAUUCUUAUACCUGACCUGGAGGGCACUGUCACGCUGUGCUGAAACAGCCAGGCUCUCAGGAGAGCAUAAUAAACUAACCGAAUCAAAGAUGGGCACGCUGGUCUGGCCUGGCACUCCUAACACCGGUCCUUGAUCAGUUAGACGAGCCGGAGAGAUGUAGAGCCAGCGGCCAUUCGUGCAGAAGUGGCUGAGGCUGAGCAGGAAAGCAGGUCAGAAAGUCAGGGUCUCUAAGCACCACUGUGCUAUAGAGCGUCUCUGACAGGACAGGGCCAUGAACGGGGAACGACAUGAGGUUUAGGCGAGGGGAGGCCAAGAGCACUACUAUAGUUUCUUAUUUAGUAGUGGAUGAGUAUAAUAUGUGUUUUGAAUAUGUUCUUAAAUGCAAUACAGUGAGACUAACAGUAUAGUCAUAAAAAACAUACAUUCACAUUUAUACAGUAGGCUGUGCAGAGAAAAUCGAAGAGAUAUCACAAUAUGUUCCAUCACAGAGUCCAUCAUUUGCCAUGCCGUCUGCUAACCUGAAAUAGACAAGCUAACUUUUUUUUUUUAAUUCAUUAAUUACUAGGAAUUUAGCUCAUAAUAAUCGUGAUGUGCAAUUAGAAACACUUGGACACUGAGAAUUUCCGGCCCGUAUGGGCACCAUAUGUGCAGCCUUCAGUAAAUCAUAUAAAAUUUGCUUCUGUUUAAGCGGUCAGCUCUUUAGAUCCGAGACAUCAUCAGCGUGAUGUGUCCUGAUAUCGAUAACCCAUUAAUUCAACCUUCGCGAGACAUUUUCCAAUGAGAAGCUGUUUCUGACACACACACACACACACAUCAUAGCGCUGGAGAGAUUCCGAACUCUCUCUGCAACCUAGCAACCCGUCACACAUAGACAGGAUCUAGACAGGCACUUUAGGGGAAUUCAAUUCACUUGUCCACAGUGAAUAAGAUUGAAUCACUUAGACAUCUGAGGUGAUUUAAUAGUGUUAACAUACGUAGCGCCUCAGCACAAUGACACAGGGAAAAAGGGGCUCUUAGGAUUAUUACAUUGACUGAAAAAUAAGUCACUUUCCUGGGUUCGCAAAUAUCAUUUUUCUGCAUGAUACUUUCCAGAUAAUAGCAGAUAACUUGAGAAAUAACCAUAUUAUUAAUGUCAAUGUUUAAGAAAUCUGUGCUUUUCCUUGUUAUAUUGGGCAUAUGCGAAACGUUAAGCAGAGCACAUACAGCUAAUGUAUUUACACCUGUGACCAAAUCACACAAAUAUGGAAAUAAAAGUAAUUCCUGCACCAAAUUGCAGGACAAGCAGAGAUAGAGUACUGACUUUCUAUUUGGAGUACUAUUCUGAAAAGUAGUCACAAAUAAUUCAAUACUACCCAACAAAUGUUUC